GAGAUAUGAUGAUAUAUUAUUUGGUCCGUGUUUCUGAUUUCACCGUGACCGAUAACUUUUUAACCAAUCUCUGAUCUC
RNAcentral lists this small nucleolar RNA (78 nucleotides) under Cephalotus follicularis. RNAcentral's name for it is "Small nucleolar RNA SNORD18". It matches the Rfam family "Small nucleolar RNA SNORD18". Rfam says of the family: U18 is a member of the C/D class of snoRNA which contain the C (UGAUGA) and D (CUGA) box motifs. It is encoded in introns of ribosomal protein L1 in Xenopus and human, and in introns of elongation factor 1 beta in yeast. The record is from Rfam by way of RNAcentral. Lineage: Eukaryota; Viridiplantae; Streptophyta; Magnoliopsida; Oxalidales; Cephalotaceae.